GACGAACGCUGGCGGCGUGCUUAACACAUGCAAGUCGUACGGUAAGGCCCUUUCGGGGGUACACGAGUGGCGCACGGGUGAGUAACACGUGAGUAACCUGCCCACAACUUUGGGAUAACGCUAGGAAACUGGUGCUAAUACUGGAUAUGUGCUCCUGCUGCAUGGUGGGGGUUGGAAAGCUCCGGCGGUUGUGGAUGGACUCGCGGCCUAUCAGCUUGUUGGUGGGGUAGUGGCCUACCAAGGCGGCGACGGGUAGCCGGCCUGAGAGGGUGACCGGCCACAUUGGGACUGAGAUACGGCCCAGACUCCUACGGGAGGCAGCAGUGGGGAAGAUUGCACAAUGGGCGCAAGCCUGAUGCAGCAACGCCGCGGGCGGGAUGACGGCCUUCGGGUUGUAAACCGCUUUCAGCAGGGACGAAGCUUUUUGUGACGGUACCUGCAGAAGAAGCACCGGCUAACUACGUG
RNAcentral lists this ribosomal RNA (465 nucleotides) under uncultured bacterium. RNAcentral's name for it is "partial 16S ribosomal RNA". It matches the Rfam family "Bacterial small subunit ribosomal RNA", at positions 28 to 507 of the family's 1533-position model. The record is from RNAcentral.